AACGCUAGCUACAGGCUUAACACAUGCAAGUCGAGGGGAAACGACAUUGGAAGCUUGCUUCCGAUGGGCGUCGACCGGCGCACGGGUGAGUAACGCGUAUCCAACCUGCCCACCACUUGGGGAUAACCUUGCGAAAGUAAGACUAAUACCCAAUGACGUCCAUAGAAGACAUCUGAAGUGGAUUAAAGAUUUAUCGGUGAUGGAUGGGGAUGCGUCUGAUUAGCUUGUUGGCGGGGUAACGGCCCACCAAGGCGACGAUCAGUAGGGGUUCUGAGAGGAAGGUCCCCCACAUUGGAACUGAGACACGGUCCAAACUCCUACGGGAGGCAGCAGUGAGGAAUAUUGGUCAAUGGGCGAGAGCCUGAACCAGCCAAGUAGCGUGCAGGAUGACGGCCCUAUGGGUUGUAAACUGCUUUUAUAAGGGAAUAAAGUGGAGGUCGUGACCUCUUUUGCAUGUACCUUAUGAAUAAGGACCGGCUAAUUCCAUGCCAGCAGCCGCGGUAAUACGGAAGGUCCGGGCGUUAUCCGGAUUUAUUGGGUUUAAAGGGAGCGUAGGCCGGAGAUUAAGCGUGUUGUGAAAUGUAGUUGCUCAACAUCUGCACUGCAGCACGAACUGGUUUCCUUGAGUACGCACAAAGUGGGCGGAAUUCGUGGUGUAGCGGUGAAAUGCUUAGAUAUCACGAAGAACUCCGAUUG
Molecule: ribosomal RNA, 696 nt
Filed under: uncultured Bacteroidales bacterium
Lineage: Bacteria; Pseudomonadati; Bacteroidota; Bacteroidia; Bacteroidales
Description: bacterial SSU rRNA
Rfam family: Bacterial small subunit ribosomal RNA
Source: RNAcentral